Biomphalaria glabrata is the source of this 5920-nucleotide RNA transcript. RefSeq lists it as uncharacterized. Lineage: Eukaryota; Metazoa; Mollusca; Gastropoda; Planorbidae. The record is from RefSeq and is a predicted model, not a curated record. The transcript is spliced from 2 exons.
CUAAAAACACAAUCCCCACCCCUCCAAUCCAACCCCACCCCAUUGGCAUCGAUGUCACAUGUUACUAUCCCCGCCUUGACACGUGUCACACUAGACCCUCGACAAGAGUACACUCCCUCCAUCUAUCGUGGCAAACAUCCGUUGACCCCCCCCCCCUUCCGGGAGCGGCUGGUCACUUCAAAGUACCCAUUCAACUUAACGCCUCGGGCAACGCUGUUCGUCUAGCACUAGCCAUUAUCAAGGUAUAAUCUCCCUUGAUUUUGGCCGAGCUCCGAUAAUCUCCCCUUCAUAAUCCACCUGGCCACCUGGGCUGAUUUCCUGGACUUUCAACUCGCGCCUUCGCGCAAUGUCUAUCUCCCGGAAACUCUCGUCACGGUCAAGCGUGGACCCCCAUUGUCAAAGACGUCAGAUAGUCUAGACCACCUUUGCACCUAUCUCCCGCCACUCACCCCCCCCCCCCUUUUAUCCACGUGUACAUGGACAAACUUCAUCGUCCGAUCUCAUUCACGCUGGAAAGCCCACAGGGAGCACAUCUAACUCUUGCUUGAGCUCUAGACUAUUUUCAUUCCCUUAUUUCACUUUGGAUUGGUGGUAUGUAACUUUGUAAAGUGCUUGAGAACCAUUUUACUUAGUAAUGUAUAUAUAUAUUUGUGCAUUUAUUACUACAUUAUUUGUGUACCUAUUUGUGCAUUCUUAUCAUGGAUAAUGUAAGUAGAUUACUGUAUACUUAUAUUUUAUAUCAUGACUUUUGUGGCUAAAUGUUCAAACCAGCUGGACUAGAGUUUAUUAACAAUUCUUACCAGAUGUAUUUAGCUCUUUAACUAUUAUUGUUUUAACUCUGAUAUAUUAGCGCUCAGCACGAGCCUUCAACGUAGUAUCAUUGAUUAAUUCCUUGGCAGGGAAUUAUCCAAACAUUUAUGUAAACAUGUCUUAUUACUGAGUAUGUAUUUACUUAUGCUCUAUGUUUACUUAUAUGAGAGCAUGGGCGAGUAUCAGACGUUGAUCUCCCCUUCCCCUUUCAUCUCAUUUAUCUAAGCGAUAUAGGUACUUGCUACUCACCGUGAUUGGUGAACGACACUUGUAUUACUUAUCAUAUAUCACUUAUUACUGUUUGUUAUUUCCCUUUAUGGGAGUCCCCAUUAUUAUUGUUAUCUCCCUUGAUGGGACACUAUUCAUUUGUUAGGUCCCUUUGAUAAAUAUGAAACUAGCUUAUGGUUUCUAUACAUCAGUCUGAAGAUGUCCUUCACGGAAAGGCAUCUACCUCCCAGUGUUAUCGUUAUGGCUAAACCGACGCAUACAUCAUAUCGUUGCAGCUUUUAUCUAUAGGCUACACCCGCCUGAAAUCUUAGCAACCUAAAGCUGAUAGCAGAUUUGCUGGCACCAGAUCUGUAGACAUCAGACCUACUCAUCAUUCAAGAGUCCAAGCAACAACGCUAGCCACAGACUCGUCACUGGCUUAACUGAUUGGUAGACGCAGCCUAGCUCUGCAACCAUACAAGUUGGACUGCACACGGAGCCUGGAUCCACUACGCCAGCCCACCAGCAGACAGCAUCAGUAUCAGCCACACCAGUCUCACCAGUGCAGCACCGGACCAAAAGCUAAGCAACCAGCCUAAUGACACUCAGACCACUUGGUUCUAAUAUCUGAUGAUGAUAGUCUCCUAAUGUAAAUACGCUAGAUCCCAUUCUAGCAUCUGUACAGCAUUUCACCUUUCAUUAUCUUAUGUUGUAUAAUAAACUGUACAUAAGUUUACAUCUAAAUAUAGUAUUUGUUGCCUGCAUUAUAACGCUGUGCUUAUAGUUUAUAUGUGCAAGUAAGGAUUCUCAAACUAUAAAAUCCCCUAGACACCCAAAACGGCCAAUAUCUUAAUCCGACUUGUCACAAUGGCGAGCCUCGUCCGGGAUUUACCCAACUAAUACUGCAAGCACAGCAGGCAACUCCCCAGUAUUUUAACUAUCAUCAUUGUUAGAGUACAAGUCUAUCGAGUGUCAUUUAGAGCUAUUUAAUUUUCUAAAUUUGUAUUGCUGUAAUUGUACUUCUUUUACAGGUUCUUAAGCACCAAACAAAGGUUAAUACCACCUUUCCUGUAACUCUUAAGUAAUUGCUUUCAGCAUCUCCAUCAUCAUCUCCACCUCUUACUCUACCUUCCGCUUUUCCCCUUCAUUACCCACCCCUCACCAUCCUAGCACCCCUCACCACCAUGGCAAGUGGCACACGCUCUAAAGCGGACUCUGACAUGAAACAAAAAAUAGCUGAACUCAGAGAACUCGCGGCCGUCAUAUAUGACGAUGAGGCAAAGCAGAAAGAAUAUGUGAGGGCAGAAUUGGAGAAGGAGAAGAAAAGGGAACAUGAAAUAGCUAUGGAAAGAGAGAAAAGGGAAGCUGAAGUAGCUAUAGCUAUAGCUAAAGAAAAGGAAAUCACGGAGCGAGAAAGGGAAAAAGAAAAACAAAUAACUGAGAGAGAAAGGAUAGCCGCGGAGAAAGAGAACGGAACCGCCAGUCAAGCUUCCUCCGGAUCUCGCCCGGCUAGCCCUGCCUCCCAGCAAAGUUCCUCAAACGGCCUACCCCACAUGCCAAUGGAGCACUUCGACGACAAGACAGAGAACAUCGAAGUUUAUCUUGUCCGUUUCGAAGAAGUUGCGAGCUACUACGGUCUGCCAGAGGAGAAAUGGUGCUUCCGGCUAUCCCAAUGCCUCCGAGGCAAAGCCUACGAAGUAUACUCUAAACUCCACUCCGGCCAGCGAGAAGACUACGCAGCCCUCAAACAGGCGCUACUCGUCCAAUUCGAGCUGACUGCCGAGGCUUACCAAAAGAAAUUCAGGACAUCCCGCCUAGAGCGCCGAGAGACCUACGGUAAUCUCUGCGACAGGUUGGACAAAUACCUGAAGAGGUGGCACACUCUCAGCGAACUGCCAGAGACCUUGGACGGCCUAAUGAGCCUCAUACUCGCAGAGCAGUUGCUAGAGUGCCUGCCGAACGAAGUCAAAAUCUUUGUUAAGGAGCAGCAAGCCAAUACACCCGCUGACAUAGCGUCAGCUGCAGACCGGUACGCGACUGCCCGCAAAGACGUUAAGGACAUCAAAAGAAAGACCUCAGCCUCGGACAAACCAGAGGACCAGCCCACUUCUUCCAACAAACACGCUCCUUCUAGCCAACCCUCUCCUUUUACUAAACCUCAUCACCAAAAAGCACCAAUCCAACGACCAGCCACGCCUACUAGCUACGACAGACGAAGCCACCCGCCUCGACAUGGCCAGACCAAUAACCAUCACCGUGACCGGAACAGCACGAGUGAUCACAGGCCCAAUCGACAGCAUCAGGCCCCACGUACUGUGUCAGCCAUGACUGAGCUCCCUGAACCCUCUUUGCAUAAUCAGCCAUCGCCUCUUGAUGAGGAAGAGGAGGACUAUUACGUCAUAUCAGCGCUGACCGUGGCCCCUGAACCCAAUGCAUGUGGCCUUACCCAACCGAUACCGCCUCACCCCAUCGUAUCACCCCCUGGGGUAGAGAUUAUUCUGAUUAACGGAUCUCCUGUUCAGGCACUAUUCGAUUCCGGAUGUGAGGUGAGCUCUGUCAUCAGCAAAGCACUGGUCGACCCAUCGGAUCUCACUGGUGGAUCAGUGACGGUUCAAUCUCUAGACCGUGGCAUUCCUCCGAAGGUGUAUCCUAUCGCUCGGGUCCACGUAGAAUGCAAGUAUGUACAUGGCACCAUUGAUGCAGUAGUCAUGGACUCGCCAGUAUACGACUUUGUUCUAGGCUCCAGGUACAUACCUCUAGGAGUUGUCAAUAAACCAUACUUCUCUCUGCCUGUCGGUAGAAUGACAAAGCAGAAACGUGGCAGCUACCAGCCGGUGGGAAGCCCUGGUCGCCACUCUAACCAACCCUUCACUGGCUCCUCAGCCAAGCUCAAGCCGCUCCACCCAGGCACUGACACUGCCAGGAAAUCACGAGGUAAGCAUAAUAACUACACUCGUGAGGGUUCGUUUAACCCUUGCUCCUCAGCAAUCAAACCGCUCAACCCUGGCACUGGCACUGCUAGGAAGUCACGAGGUAAGCGAAAUACCUACACUCGUGAGAGUUCUUGUAACUCCCGCUCUUCAGCUAUCAAACCACUAAUGCCUGGCACUGAUCCUGCCAGGAAGUCACAGAGGAAAGUGAACUUGCACUCUCGUGAAAGUGGGCCUCAUCACGGCUCCACCCACACUAUAAGGCCACUCUUCCCUGACAUUGACCGUGUCUGGAAAAUUAGAGGUAAGCCGAUAAAUCGCACUCACGAAGAAACGCCUCACUAUGGAUUUAGAGAUAAGCCCCGUCCAACAUACGCGCAUUGGGCCCUCCGCCAUAACGUCCAUCCCACUUACUGGUCUGCCCCAAGAAGGAGAUGUACCCAAUCCUAUCCACCCGGCCUAUUUCCCCAGGUUUCCAGAAUUGCCCCUUCCACGUGGCAAUCCGCCUGCGGACAGAACAUAGGCGACAGCGGACUCUUAGGACGGACACCCCUCUGGACCUGGGCAACCUCUUAACUACUGGGAAAAUUUUCUUAAAUGCUACGACCGACAAUAGACGAAACUUGAGCGAUACCAACGUGAGCACUUUAUAGAUCUUUUAGCAAAGACCUAUCUUACGCAGGGAGGGUUGUGACGAACCGUUUUAGCUCACUCGAGGUAUCACUCAGGUCUAAGCAUUUAAUUAAUUUAUUUACUCGCUAUUAAUCAUCUAUUUUAUUAAUUUAGCCAAUCAAGCGCUAAAAACACAAUCCCCACCCCUCCAAUCCAACCCCACCCCAUUGGCAUCGAUGUCACAUGUUACUAUCCCCGCCUUGACACGUGUCACACUAGACCCUCGACAAGAGUACACUCCCUCCAUCUAUCGUGGCAAACAUCCGUUGACCCCCCCCCCUUCCGGGAGCGGCUGGUCACUUCAAAGUACCCAUUCAACUUAACGCCUCGGGCAACGCUGUUCGUCUAGCACUAGCCAUUAUCAAGGUAUAAUCUCCCUUGAUUUUGGCCGAGCUCCGAUAAUCUCCCCUUCAUAAUCCACCUGGCCACCUGGGCUGAUUUCCUGGACUUUCAACUCGCGCCUUCGCGCAAUGUCUAUCUCCCGGAAACUCUCGUCACGGUCAAGCGUGGACCCCCAUUGUCAAAGACGUCAGAUAGUCUAGACCACCUUUGCACCUAUCUCCCGCCACUCACCCCCCCCCCCUUUUAUCCACGUGUAUAUGGACAAACUUCAUCGUCCGAUCUCAUUCACGCUGGAAAGCCCACAGGGAGCACAUCUAACUCUUGCUUGAGCUCUAGACUAUUUUCAUUCCCUUAUUUCACUUUGGAUUGGUGCUUUUAUCUAUAGGCUACACCCGCCUGAAAUCUUAGCAACCUAAAGCUGAUAGCAGAUUUGCUGGCACCAGAUCUGUAGACAUCAGACCUACUCAUCAUUCAAGAGUCCAAGCAACAACGCUAGCCACAGACUCGUCACUGGCUUAACUGAUUGGUAGACGCAGCCUAGCUCUGCAACCAUACAAGUUGGACUGCACACGGAGCCUGGAUCCACUACGCCAGCCCACCAGCAGACAGCAUCAGUAUCAGCCACACCAGUCUCACCAGUGCAGCACCGGACCAAAAGCUAAGCAACCAGCCUAAUGACACUCAGACCACUUGGUUCUAAUAUCUGAUGAUGAUAGUCUCCUAAUGUAAAUACGCUAGAUCCCAUUCUAGCAUCUGUACAGCAUUUCACCUUUCAUUAUCUUAUGUUGUAUAAUAAACUGUACAUAAGUUUACAUCUAAAUAUAGUAUUUGUUGCCUGCAUUAUAACGCUGUGCUUAUAGUUUAUAUGUGCAAGUAAGGAUUCUCAAACUAUAAAAUCCCCUAGACACCCAAAACGGCCAAUAUCUUAAUCCGACUUGUCACAAAUACCACACACUAUU